UACGAAGGGGGCUAGCGUUGUUCGGAAUCACUGGGCGUAAAGCGCGCGUAGGCGGGUCGUUAAGUCGGGGGUGAAAUCCCGAGGCUCAACCUCGGAACUGCCUUCGAUACUGGCGACCUUGAGUCCGGGAGAGGUGAGUGGAACUCCUAGUGUAGAGGUGAAAUUCGUAGAUAUUCGGAAGAACACCAGUGGCGAAGGCGGCUCACUGGCCCGGUACUGACGCUGAGGUGCGAAAGCGUGGGGAGCAAACAGG
RNAcentral lists this ribosomal RNA (253 nucleotides) under uncultured bacterium. RNAcentral's name for it is "partial 16S ribosomal RNA". It matches the Rfam family "Bacterial small subunit ribosomal RNA", at positions 524 to 776 of the family's 1533-position model. The record is from RNAcentral.